This is a non-coding RNA of Paramuricea clavata, 217 nucleotides long. NCBI's taxonomy places the organism in Eukaryota, Metazoa, Cnidaria, Anthozoa, Malacalcyonacea, Plexauridae. The record is from the annotation of a GenBank genome assembly.
CCCCACACCCCCCCACACACGCGACCAUUGCUAUCUGCCUCUAAUAAGUAAUGAUAAAUGAUGGUUAAUUUUUUUUUACUUUUUGUGCGUUUUUUCCUUUUUUUUUUCAAAUACAAGUAUAGUUAGGAUAAAUUUUGGAGCAAAUUUGGAUGCUCAGAAUGCAGGAAAUGACAUUUCCGGGAUUCAAAUUUCAAAAAUGUUCUGGGGGAGUACACCC